RNAcentral lists this long non-coding RNA (967 nucleotides) under Zalophus californianus (California sea lion). RNAcentral describes it as "lncRNA (ENSZCAG00015019008.1)". The record is from RNAcentral. Lineage: Eukaryota; Metazoa; Chordata; Mammalia; Carnivora; Otariidae.
CUAACUGCUUCCCUCAACAUGCUUCUCUGCUUGGCAGGACUCUGCAGAAGUUGAUGGUCCCCUGCAGGACAGGGGAGCCUGGGCCUCCCGUCUGCGACCAAACGCGGCUAGUUGAACACUCCUCAGAAGAGGAAAUCAGGAAAUGAAGGUUUUCUUCUGGAUACCCCAGAUCUUUGAUGAUGCCAGUGAGGAAACAUCCACACCCUUUGGUUAGACGGUGAAGCAUGAGGCUGUGGUUAUUUUCAUCAUUUACUCCAUGGAAGGUUGAAAGCUGUUAAGCAGAAUCAAUCUUAGGACAGAGAACGGUGGAACUCCGGAAGGUGCAACCUUACCAGCAUCUUGGUGGAUGCUUCCCGAUUGUAGCAUCCUUUUCAUCUUCAACUUAUAUUCCAAGCUGUUACCUAGAAUAAAUCCCACCAUUUCUAGCUAAUGCACGGUCUUUGUUUUGAAUGGAAAAGAGGGAAAAUAUAUUGAUCCCCUCUGGCAGCACAGGAGAUACGCCUAAAAUGGAAUAUCUUUCACCAUCAUGAAUAACAUUAAUCUUUACAGUUCUCCAAAGUAAAUAAUUACUGUAUAGUUGGCUUCCUAUUUAUAUGAAUUGACAGCAUCCUUUGAGUCUCCAGGUGACAGAAAUUCUCUCCAGAAACCAUUCUUAAGAUUAUUGUCAAAUUCCUUAAUGAGGAAUUAGAAGCUAAAGUGGCUAGCCUCUAGGUACAACCGGUUGGCAACAUGCUGAUCUUCUCCCUUCUGGAUUCUUCAGAGAGGGUUGAUGGAUAAAGCUCUGAAGAGCUGUUGAGCAUGCCAAGUCUUCUGGUGUGAGGGCAGCCACCAUGCCCCAGUCUAUGCUGAGCCUGUCUUGUGUAUUUCCAAGUACUCAGGUGGUUGGGGAACACAACAUUUCAGAUGAGGAAAUGACUUUGGUGAGCAUCACCUCAAGUAGCCACACUAUGUCCUUCUUUCAUUGAUC